Molecule: long non-coding RNA, 3188 nt
Organism: Equus caballus (horse)
Lineage: Eukaryota; Metazoa; Chordata; Mammalia; Perissodactyla; Equidae
Source: Ensembl
CAGGAAAGCUCUAUCUCUUGCCUGAGUCGUCUUCAGAUUCUAGAACCAACUGGCUGGUCUGUGGGCAGGCCUGUUCAGGCAGAGUCCUAACUCAACUUGCCAUUCUGUGUUGCAAUACAAAACCAACAGACUCUACAGGCAAACAGACAAGACUGGAUUCGGUCUCUUACAAAGUAGAAGACUGUAGAAAAUUGAGAACAUAAAGCUAAGCAAAUGGAAAAAAAAUAAAAAUAAACUACAAUUUACCAUAAUUCAACACUUUUAACAUUUUGAGAAAGUAGUAGCUGCCCAUUUCUGCAUCCUGGCUGCAUCCGUGAGCCUGGUUCUCUGAAGUCAGAGCUUGUUUGUGAUCGUGACUUUGCUCCCAGGUGCCUGGUACCCAAGGAAAGCAUGCAAACAGAGGCAGCAAAGUUGUAUAUCUUAGUUGAGGUUCUUCUAGCUGUGGGAUGUGGGCCGCCACCUCAACGUGGCCUGAUGAGCAGUGCCAUGUCCAGGUCCAGGAUCUGAACCCUGGGCCGCCGCAGCGGAGUGUGUGAACUUAACCACUCGGCCAUGGAGCCAGCCCCUGGGAUUUAUCUUGAUAUCAGACUGGCCCUGAGCUAACAUCCACGCCCAUCUUCCUCUACGUUGUAUGUGGGACGCCUGCCGCAGCAUGGAUUGCCAAGCGGCUGUCUUAAGCGGAAUUCCAACCAGAUGUAGCGGAAGGGGUCCAGAGUUUCCGCUCCAGCGAACAGGCUCUCCAUGAUGUUGGGCUAACAGCAGUUGAGGAUCUUUCCACGCCAGAAAUGGGGGGAGGGUAUGUCUAAUGCAAAGAGAAAUAAAGUUCUGUAAGUUCUGUAAGUGCCACUCUUAUUCUAUGUUCCUUAGAAAUUAUAAUCUGCUGGAGGUAAGGGAACAAGUCUGUUAGCGUGCAGUAGACUCCUCGGUUUUAUGUUAAACACAUGAUUUCUGAUGAGGAAGUUACAGUUUCCUCUGAUGAUAAUCUUCCCUGUUCAUUGCUUGUCUCAUUGUCAAACUCAGCUUGGAGGGCUUUGUGAAUUCUCCUGAAAAGCUUUCUUUCCAGGCAGAAAGAAAGUUUGAGGUCAGAAGAAGGACACGGUGCAGAGAAUGUAAAAGCUCAUGGGAUUUGUUGAGCGAUGAGACCCUCUCUAGCUCAUAAAAAAAUAGAAAGCUCUUUCUUGCUGUCAAACUGAAAAUUUACCUAGACAAGUAGAAAACAAACAUAGGGAAAAUUAUUCCGAAAGCAUUUGUGCUUUCAGGCUUUCCAUUCCUUUGAAAAAACAUUCUCCAUCAGCAAGGGUAGGAGAAGAUGAAUUCUGCAGCAAAUGGGGUAGGAAGAAAGGGGCCACCCAGCAUCUAUAGGAGAAGAUUGGACCAGAGGGUAAACUGAAGGCAUGAGGCAUUGCUGUUGUCCUUGUUAAACCCACUGUGUGGAAGAGGUGGUGCUGAUGCUUCCAGCAAUGAACAGUGAGGGACUACCUAGCCAGCAGUAAGCCCUACUCUGUGUCUAGACAUCACAUAUGCGGAGGAACAGUCUCCCAAGGACAUGGCUGGCUAAUUACCUGGAGCCUGGAUGGAGAGAGAAGAUUAUAUUACAUGCUCCGGGAUGUUCCAUUAAGCUGAGUCCUGGUUCAGGGCCAAUAUUUUUGUUCAGUGAUGCUUGUUGCCUUCGACUUCUCCCUGGCAGAGUUUAUCUCCCUGAAGAAACAUGGGGAUAACUCUAAAAAGCAGUCCAUAGACUAUUUAUCAAAAGCCUGGAGCAUUUUUCUGUCUCCAGAUAGAGGCAUCUUCUGGAAAAAGGAGCACUGGACUGAGAGGCAUUUGUGCUGUACUCUAGGAUGACCUGGCACUGCCGUUGAGCAGGUGUUUGACUUAGGGCAAAUUGGUUGUACUCGCAAAAACACCAUUUUCCAACCUAUAAAUUGAGAGAAAAUGCAGAUUUUCUUCAAAUUAAAACCAACUAGAAAACCCACUAUAUUUAACAGAUAAAUUCAGAGCGGCUCUUGAUUGAUGGGACCAAGGACACAUUGCUUACUUUACUCUGCUCCUUCCCCCAUCCCUUCAAGUGGCUUCACCCUUAUUUAGGUGCCCAGAGUCCUCAAAAAAGUCUUCCAUGCUCAUCCUCCUAGAGAUCACAUAGCAGAAAUGUCAGACUUUUAUUACUGUGGUUUUAGACUUGUGUGAAGUCUCCUACAUUUUCAGUAGGAGAAUGACCCUGAAGGUGAUUUUUACAAAGAGAAUAGAAACAUACAAGAAGAUGUCUGUGUUCUGCAAUGUGAGGCUUAAAAAAAAAAAUUCAGUUCCUCCCUAUUGUUUGGAAAUCUGUAUUGAUUUUGUUCAAAUUAAACUAUAUUGAUACUAUGUCAUUGUGUGGGUCAUGGUUGUAUAUUGCUGUUGGUUAAAAAAAUUCACCGUGUUGGUAAGUUUCAAAAGGGAGAGUGGGUGAGGACAAAAGCUUGUCUAGUAGAUGUUUUGUCCUGACUAAGAGAAGGAAAGGAACACUGGGAAAAUAAUAAAAAAGCCGAGGUUUGUGGAAGGAGUUCUUGAGUUAAGGCUUUCACUAAACCAAAAUGUCAGGUGAAAAACCAGGAAGCCGAGAGAUGGACACAUUUGAACUAUUAGUUUUUUUGUUUAAAGAAUGUGUCUAAGUUAUGAGUAGAUUUUUAUAGAAUCCUAAAAUAUUGAAAUUUUAAAGCUAGACGGGAUCACAAUGAUUUUCUCCCAAGAGUGGCUUUGGGUUUUGAGAGAGAAGCUUUUCCUUUUUCUUUUAACGAGUGUUCAUAUAUAAGCAAAAGAUUUUGAUCUUUUGACAGUCACUUAGGGAAUAUGCUUCUUUGGAACAUACAUGAGGUUGUGGAAUGACUGGCAAAGCCUUUCUGGGAAAAAUAAUGUUAUAGUACACUGGGGUAAACUGAAAAAUCAAAGUAAUUACCCUAAAUUUAUCAAGAUAAUUUCAUUAAUACUGAUCACUAUCAAAAAUUGUUUUUGAGAUCACUAGAGCAGUCCUCAGUUGAACUGGAAUUACUUAUGGACUUUAGUGAUGGUAUUUUUAUUUGAAAAACAAAAUACAAUCAAUUAAGCCACAUCUGGGGAAAAAGCUCACAUUUUAGGAAUUAUUUUAACAUAAACUUCUUUAUGUUACAUAUAGCCUCACUGUCAAUUACUAGACAUAAUUACAUAUUUUCUUG